GCUGGGUAUGGUGGUUCAUGCCUGUAAUACCAGAGGCUCUGGAGGUUGAGGCAGGAGGAUCUCAAGUUUGAGGCUAGCCUUGCCAACUUAGCAAGGCCCUAAGCAACUUAGUGAGACCCUGUCUCAA
Molecule: small RNA, 127 nt
Filed under: Marmota monax (woodchuck)
Lineage: Eukaryota; Metazoa; Chordata; Mammalia; Rodentia; Sciuridae
Source: RNAcentral